Molecule: transfer RNA, 71 nt
Filed under: Loxodonta africana (African savanna elephant)
Lineage: Eukaryota; Metazoa; Chordata; Mammalia; Proboscidea; Elephantidae
Rfam family: tRNA
About the family: Transfer RNA (tRNA) molecules are approximately 80 nucleotides in length.
Source: Rfam by way of RNAcentral
ACACUGGUGGUUCAGAGAUAAAACUCUUGCCUUCCGUGCAGGGGACCCAGCUUCAAUUCCUAGCCAAUGCG